This 227-nucleotide unclassified non-coding RNA is filed under the name Hevea brasiliensis (rubber tree). The record is from RNAcentral. Lineage: Eukaryota; Viridiplantae; Streptophyta; Magnoliopsida; Malpighiales; Euphorbiaceae.
GUGAAACAAGCGAAGUCUUAGAAUUAUUACAAUUUAUUGAUAUUUACAAAUAUGCAUACAAAUACAACUAAUGUAUAAAUACACAUUUAAAGAAAACUUAGUAUUAUUAAAUAAGUGCAAGUUGGCCAAACAGACGCUCGAAUAUUUUUCAAUUUUUCAUUUUUAUUGCCUCAAAACAAAAAUAUUUAUCAUUGUAAUACAUAGCAAUUAACAAAGUUCAAUUAAAU